Molecule: ribosomal RNA, 578 nt
Filed under: Haloferax sp.
Lineage: Archaea; Methanobacteriati; Methanobacteriota; Halobacteria; Halobacteriales; Haloferacaceae
Description: bacterial SSU rRNA
Rfam family: Archaeal small subunit ribosomal RNA
Source: RNAcentral
CUCAGUAACACGUGGCCAAACUACCCUACAGAGAACGAUAACCUCGGGAAACUGAGGCUAAUAGUUCAUACGGGAGUCAUGCUGGAAUGCCGACUCCCCGAAACGCUCAGGCGCUGUAGGAUGUGGCUGCGGCCGAUUAGGUAGACGGUGGGGUAACGGCCCACCGUGCCGAUAAUCGGUACGGGUUGUGAGAGCAAGAGCCCGGAGACGGAAUCUGAGACAAGAUUCCGGGCCCUACGGGGCGCAGCAGGCGCGAAACCUUUACACUGCACGCAAGUGCGAUAAGGGGACCCCAAGUGCGAGGGCAUAUAGUCCUCGCUUUUCACGACUGUAAGGCGGUCGUGGAAUAAGAGCUGGGCAAGACCGGUGCCAGCCGCCGCGGUAAUACCGGCAGCUCAAGUGAUGACCGAUAUUAUUGGGCCUAAAGCGUCCGUAGCCGGCCACGAAGGUUCAUCGGGAAAUCCGCCAGCUCAACUGGCGGGCGUCCGGUGAAAACCACGUGGCUUGGGACCGGAAGGCUCGAGGGGUACGUCCCGGGGUAGGAGUGAAAUCCCGUAAUCCUGGACGGACCACCGAUG